GACGAACGCUGGCGGCGUGGAUUAGGCAUGCAAGUCGAACGGUAUCAUCCUUUCGGGGGUGAGAGAGUGGCGAACUGGUGAGUAACACGUAGGUUAUCUACCCUCAAGACGGGGACAACCCAGGGAAACUUGGGCUAAUACCGGAUGUGAGCAACUUUUAGUUGUUUGAAAGGUGGCGUAAGCUGUCGCUUGGGGAUGAGCCUGCGUCCUAUUAGUUAGUUGGUGAGGUAACGGCUCACCUAGGCAAUGAUAGGUAGGCGGCCUUAACGGGUGGUCGCCCACACUGGGAUUGAGAUACGGCCCAGACUCCUACGGGAGGCAGCAGUCGAGAAUAGUCUACAAUGGUCGGAAGACUGAUAGUGCGACGCCGCGUGAACGAUGAAUCCCUUCGGGGUGUAAAGUUCUUUUAUAUGUGAGCAGUGCUUCUUAUAUUAACAGUUAUGGGGAGAGAGAUAUUAGCAUAUGAAUAAGCAACGGCUAACUCCGUGCCAGCAGCCGCGGU
RNAcentral lists this ribosomal RNA (502 nucleotides) under uncultured bacterium. Its description in RNAcentral is "bacterial SSU rRNA". It matches the Rfam family "Bacterial small subunit ribosomal RNA", at positions 28 to 521 of the family's 1533-position model. The record is from RNAcentral.